Molecule: ribosomal RNA, 447 nt
Filed under: uncultured bacterium
Lineage: Bacteria
Description: bacterial SSU rRNA
Rfam family: Bacterial small subunit ribosomal RNA
Source: RNAcentral
GUGGGGAAUAUUGGACAAUGGGCGCAAGCCUGAUCCAGCAAUGCCGCGUGCAGGAAGAAGGCCUUCGGGUUGUAAACUGCUUUUGUACGGAACGAAACGGUCCGGGUUAAUACCCUGGGCUAAUGACGGUACCGUAAGAAUAAGCACCGGCUAACUACGUGCCAGCAGCCGCGGUAAUACGUAGGGUGCAAGCGUUAAUCGGAAUUACUGGGCGUAAAGCGUGCGCAGGCGGUUUUGUAAGACAGGCGUGAAAUCCCCGGGCUCAACCUGGGAAUUGCGCUUGUGACUGCAAGGCUGGAGUGCGGCAGAGGGGGAUGGAAUUCCGCGUGUAGCAGUGAAAUGCGUAGAUAUGCGGAGGAACACCGAUGGCGAAGGCAAUCCCCUGGGCCUGUACUGACGCUCAUGCACGAAAGCGUGGGGAGCAAACAGGAUUAGAAACCCCUGUAC